UAAAAUAAAGCUGAACUAGCUACUUAUUUACAUUAAGUUGGUCUCUUUUAUCCAGUAUAGAGUAUUUUAA
This 70-nucleotide transfer RNA is filed under the name Opilio parietinus. RNAcentral's name for it is "tRNA-Val". Lineage: Eukaryota; Metazoa; Arthropoda; Arachnida; Opiliones; Phalangiidae. The record is from RNAcentral.